GAUGACCGUACCGCAAACCGACACAGGUGGGCGAGAUGAGUAUUCUAAGGCGCUUGAGAGAACUCGGGAGAAGGAACUCGGCAAAUUGGUACCGUAACUUCGGGAUAAGGUACGCCCUUGUAGCUUGACUGGCUUGCGCCAGAAGGGUGAAGGGGUUGCAAUAAACUGGUGGCUGCGACUGUUUAAUAAAAACACAGCACUCUGCAAACACGAAAGUGGACGUAUAGGGUGUGACGCCUGCCCGGUGCCGGAAGAUUAAAUGAUGGGGUGCAAGCUCUUGAUUGAAGUCCCGGUAAACGGCGGCCGUAACUAUAACGGUCCUAAGGUAGCGAAAUUCCUUGUCGGGUAAGUUCCGACCUGCACGAAUGGCGUAACGAUGGCCACACUGUCUCCUCCCGAGACUCAGCGAAGUUGAAGUGUUUGUGAUGAUGCAAUCUACCCGCGGCUAGACGGAAAGACCCCAUGAACCUUUACUGUAGCUUUGCAUUGGACUUUGAACCGAUCUGUGUAGGAUAGGUGGGAGGCUAUGAAACCGGAACGCUAGUUUCGGUGGAGCCGUCCUUGAAAUACCACCCUGGUUUGUUUGAGGUUCUAACCUUGGCCCGUGAUCCGGGUCGGGGACAGUGCAUGGUAGGCAGUUUGACUGGGGCGGUCUCCUCCCAAAGCGUAACGGAGGAGUACGAAGGUACGCUAGGUACGGUCGGAAAUCGUGCUGAUAGUGCAAUGGCAUAAGCGUGCUUAACUGCGAGACCGACAAGUCGAGCAGGUGCGAAAGCAGGUCAUAGUGAUCCGGUGGUUCUGUAUGGAAGGGCCAUCGCUCAACGGAUAAAAGGUACUCUGGGGAUAACAGGCUGAUACCGCCCAAGAGUUCAUAUCGACGGCGGUGUUUGGCACCUCGAUGUCGGCUCAUCUCAUCCUGGGGCUGUAGCCGGUCCCAAGGGUAUGGCUGUUCGCCAUUUAAAGAGGUACGUGAGCUGGGUUUAAAACGUCGUGAGACAGUUUGGUCCCUAUCUGCCGUGGGCGUUGGAUAUUUGAAGGGGGCUGCUCCUAGUACGAGAGGACCGGAGUGGACGAACCUCUGGUGUACCGGUUGUCACGCCAGUGGCAUCGCCGGGUAGCUAUGUUCGGAAGAGAUAACCGCUGAAAGCAUCUAAGCGGGAAACUCGCCUUAAGAUGAGAUAUCCCUGGGGACUAGAUCCCCUUGAAGGGUCGUUCGAGACCAGGACGUUGAUAGGUCAGGUGUGUAAGCGCAGUAAUGCGUUCAGCUAACUGAUACUAAUUGCCCGUAAGGCUUGAUCCUAUAACA
This 1306-nucleotide ribosomal RNA is filed under the name Burkholderia contaminans. RNAcentral describes it as "partial 23S ribosomal RNA". It matches the Rfam family "Bacterial large subunit ribosomal RNA", at positions 1637 to 2925 of the family's 2925-position model. Lineage: Bacteria; Pseudomonadati; Pseudomonadota; Betaproteobacteria; Burkholderiales; Burkholderiaceae. The record is from RNAcentral.